RNAcentral lists this ribosomal RNA (497 nucleotides) under uncultured bacterium. RNAcentral describes it as "partial 16S ribosomal RNA". It matches the Rfam family "Bacterial small subunit ribosomal RNA", at positions 28 to 507 of the family's 1533-position model. The record is from RNAcentral.
GAUGAACGCUGGCGGCGUGCCCAAUACAUGCAAGUCGAGCGAACGGACGAGAAGCUUGCUUCUCUGAUGUUAGCGGCGGACGGGUGAGUAACACGUGGAUAACCUACCUAUAAGACUGGGAUAACUUCGGGAAACCGGAGCUAAUACCGGAUAAUAUUUUGAACCGCAUGGUUCAAAAGUGAAAGACGGUCUUGCUGUCACUUAUAGAUGGAUCCGCGCUGCAUUAGCUAGUUGGUAAGGUAACGGCUUACCAAGGCAACGAUGCAUAGCCGACCUGAGAGGGUGAGCGGCCACACUGGAACUGAGACACGGUCCAGACUCCUACGGGAGGCAGCAGUAGGGAAUCUUCCGCAAUGGGCGAAAGCCUGACGGAGCAACGCCGCGUGAGUGAUGAAGGGCUUCGGAUCGUAAAACUCUGUUAUUAGGGAAGAACAUAUGUGUAAGUAACUGUGCACAUCUUGACGGUACCUAAUCAGAAAGCCACGGCUAACUACGUG